Molecule: small nuclear RNA, 23 nt
Filed under: Arabidopsis thaliana (thale cress)
Lineage: Eukaryota; Viridiplantae; Streptophyta; Magnoliopsida; Brassicales; Brassicaceae
Description: snRNA_04429
Source: RNAcentral
UCAACGGCAAUUUAAAGAUUAAA